RNAcentral lists this transfer RNA (76 nucleotides) under Candidatus Peregrinibacteria bacterium. RNAcentral's name for it is "tRNA-Arg". It matches the Rfam family "tRNA". Rfam says of the family: Transfer RNA (tRNA) molecules are approximately 80 nucleotides in length. Their secondary structure includes four short double-helical elements and three loops (D, anti-codon, and T loops). The record is from RNAcentral. Lineage: Bacteria; Candidatus Peregrinibacteriota.
GCUCCGGUAGCUCAGUGGAUAGAGCAGCAGCCUUCUAAGCUGUUGGUCGGUGGUUCGAUUCCACCCCGGGGCACCA